ACCAACUCAAUUAAUUCAGCAUGUUUAGUCCUUUAAUCUUUGUUCUUAGUACUACCUUCGUGAUCCCACACUCCUAAUCAUAUAAGCUAAAGUAUUGCACAUUCAAUCUUUGGAAGAUAUAAACAAAACAUAAAUAUAGAUAGAUUAUCUUUCCAUUAGGUUGAGCCAUCUGAUCUAACAAAUGUUUUAAAUGCUACACUCAUGAUCCAUCAACUUUGCCUUGCUCACUAUGCUUAAGGUUAGAGAAGAACAAAUACACUUUUGGUUCUGUUGGUGUUUUCCACCAAUAGGGCCCAUGCACUUGAUCUCUGCCUUGUCUCCAUGAAUAGGUACACUUUAAACAAAACAUGGAGGAGUUUUACAACUCCCAGAUUCCACUAAGUGAAGAACCGGGAUCUACGAGCACAAACACAAUGGAGAUCAGACACUUAGUUUCCCAAAGGAAAUAUUGAAGAACCUCUGUGUCCGAGUUGGUACCUUGUACGCUCCAGCAAACUUCAUGGUGAUAGAGACUGGUACUGAGGAGAGGGCACCCAUCAUCUUAGGGAGGCCAUUCCUAAACACCAGAGCAGUCAUCUACGCUAAUGCUGCCAAGAUCAGUCUCUACAUCAAGGGGAAGAAGGAGACUUUCCUUCAAGAACAAGACUACACAAGCUUCAGAGCAAACCCGACAUGAACCAAGGAAGAGGACCAACAGGAGGAACAGGAACAAGCAAAUGUGGACUGAGUCAGCUAAGAUGGUCACUGCAGUUCAAAAAGGUCAAGAUCGUCGACUCAAGUCGCCAUUCCUGAUCAAGAAGGACGACCCUGGUGUUCCAAGCAUCGAGUGCACAAUCAACGGAUACUCUUUUCAGAAGACACUCUACGACACCGGAUCUGACGACUACAUAAUGGCUGCAGUCACUUAUCAGCUCCUGCAUGGAACCAUGCCCCUAUAACCAACAUACAUUCAACUCCAGAUAAUCUUGAGGUCAUUAACAUGGGAGAAGACGAGUAUGAUCCACCCAUCAUCCUUGGAAGACCAUUCCUCAACACUAUCAAAGCCAUCAUCUAUAUUGAAACCGGAGAAGUCCACAUGCACUUCCCCUCUGAGAAGGUACGCCACUACUUUAAUGACCUUAACUAUAUAGUUGAAAACUCUAAGCAGGCCAGAAGAAGACAACGCAACCGCACCAGAGGAGGCAAAUCAUGAAGGACGGAUGGGCAGACUAGAAAGGAGAAGUGGUAAGGUCUGAAGACAUACAGCUUGAACAGAACUGUCCUAAGGAGACCGUAGCACCGAGUCAGAGAGAGAAGAUAGUUAUACACGAAGAAGAGGCGCCGCCGGAAUCACCGACUACGCCACCUAGCGAAUCCCAGGACGACUGAAAACACAAGGAGUCCCGUUCGGAGGACUUAAAAACACCGAACGCCUUGCCAAGAGGUAAACUUGGUAGUUAUCCUUUUCCAUUCAAUAGUUUGCUUAGUUAAUCAGGUUCAUGCUAUCUUGAAAAGAAAAUAAAUGUUAAAAAAUAGUAAGCCCCAUGUGAGUAUGCUCAUGGCAUAAAACCCAUAAGUACAUUCACUGUGGUGGCAUGAAAAUAAAAUAAAUAAGUUUUCAGCUUACAAUAAAAAUAUAAAAAUAAUAAGUGCAUGAUCCUGCUAAAUAAGUAAUAUUGAGGAGGCUCAACAUGAUAAAGGCUAGAUAUUUAUGCUAACACUUAACCAGUUCCACAAAGCUUUGUUGUCUAUUUGAGCUCCACAGAAUUCAAGGAUCAAAGAAGACUAGCAGACGGAGGACAUCCUAAUCGCUGUCGGGGUGCUGUCGACUUUCAAAUACACCUCCAUCACCUGCUAGCUACAUCAGAAGAAAUUACGUCAAAAUUCAGCUUGGGGGAGAGCACCCCCAUUUAUCUCGCUAAGUAUUUCUACCUAUCUUUAUACUUAUAUUAUGUUAGAAUAUUAAAAUACAUAAACUAUGAAAAACCCAAAUAAAGAUUUUGUGCUUUUAUAUAUAUAUCUUUGCUUAGUUUGCUAAAUAAAUAAAUAAAUAAAAUUUGCUAUGAACCCUCAUGAUAAGCUCUCUCAUGGAAAUGAUGAAUAGUUGGUCUGCCAUGACUAGUUCUUAAAAUUGAAAUCUCUCUCAAGUUUAGGCAUAACUGUUAUAAUUUAAAGCUUGCUCUAAACCUAAACUUGUGGGAAGAGUACUUGAUCUAAAGUCUAAGUCGUUAACGGAUAUGAUAUGGGAAGGUUGAGCUGCUGUUUAUCUGUUCCUAGAGAUGCUAGAAUUCUGGAGAAUUUUAUCUUUGAAAAAAUCUUUAAAAUAACACAUGAUGAGUUCCUGUAUGAUGAGAGUUUAAAAUCCUACCACAGCCAUAUAUACAUGCUUGCUAGACUUUGAGCCACAUAUUUACUUUUUACUGCUUAUGAGCAUUGAGUGUGGUCAAGCUGUGUAGACCCUUAGGAGCUUGUCAUGUGGUUAAAAUCAAGAUUCACUUGCACGUUCACUCAUACAUGCUACUUCUACUCCGGAAGUACGCAUCCACAUACAUCCACUCAUUUCCAUCUCCACAUUCACCCGAAAUUAUUCUACUCCUAAUCCGGGAGAGAAUAGCAAAAAAUAUUUUCCUAUCCUUGUUAUUCCCUAUGAAAUAAAUGCUCCAGUUAUUUUAAUUACUACCACUUGCUACAUUCUUUCAGGAGAUGAGUGCUCUAAAAAAAGAGAAAGAGAAAAAGAAAGAAAAAAAAUAAUAAUAAUACGAGGAAAUAAAAAGGGGCAAGUGCCCGGAACCUCGAAGAAAAGAAAAAGUGAAACGAGAGGUAAAAAUGGACAAGUGUCCGACAGUAGAAUUAGGGGUACAAGAUACCCACCUGAGAGGAAAGAAAAAGAAAAUAUAGAGCAUCUCAUUCUCCCCAAAAAGCUUCAAAGUACAAGAAAGGUAUGUAUCCCCUCAAACGAGCAUAAAAAAAUAGAAUUAGACUUUCACCAUCAUUAUCACCAUCAUCACCAUACACCAUUCAUUCGCCACACAUGCACAUCUUGAUUUGACUUAUUGAUUUGUUUCUCUGGAUCCAUGGUUUGACUAUGCAAUAAAAGUCUUGUAAGUAUGUAUUAGCUGUCUCCUACCCAUGAGCUCCAGAUAUCAGAACUUUAUUAGAGUAGGGUGAGAGAGAAGGCAAUGUCACUAUGCCUCAUACCAAAAAUACCACAUACUUUGAGAGAAGGCAUAUACCAUUACUGCCUUGGUAUGGAUCCAUAAAUACCACAAAAGAGAGAUCUGAGAGAGUCAUAUAAGGAAUCUCUGAGUUUUAUUUGAAAAUCUGCAAAAAACCCCAGAGCUAUAGCUGAUCAAGAAUAAGAGACAUGGCGCUUGACUUGACCGUUCUAUCUUUUAACUGCUCAAGACACAAGUGACGGUUACAAGCCCCAUGGUAAAAGGUAAAAUGAGUAAGUUUUAAGUCUUAACAGUUUAUUCUAACUCAGAGAUGAGAUCUUGCUUGAAUGCGUGUGUACUUUUAAGAAAUGAAACCACUGCAGAAACUCUUGAGUUCAUCCUUGCUCAGGGAUGAGCAAGAGGUAAGCUUGGGGGAGUUUGUUGACGGUCCUUAAGUAUCAAAUUUAAUUAUCAAAUAAACAAAGAAAAGGAUCCAAAUGAAAUCAACAUCUAGACUUAGGGUUUUAUCUGACAGAAUUCCACGAGUUUUGGUGUUUCUCUAUUUCUACAGGGGUUAUCAUGAAAUAAGGAAGAAAGGCCCACACGUCGGGAUUACAUAGAGAUAUUAAUGUGCCGCACAAUUUUCUAUCAUCUAGAAGACUCCAGAAGCCACGGGAACGAACGAGAAGGCAAACGGGCCCGGGGGCAGGGCGCCCGCCCACCCCCCUUGGGCGCCCGCCCAGGUGUUUCCACCAAUCACAGAAUGGAGUACACCAUUGCAAAGAUCUCGUCGAGCUGAUCGAAAUGCAUAUAUUACUUGCUAUAUUUGGAGUUCGGAAUCAAAAGAUAUUAAUAAAGGAAGGACUCCACAUAAAAGAGCUGCGGGAUUAAUUGGGCCCAAAUCAGAUUUUGGUCCAUUAUGGCCUAUGUGCAUUUUAAUGAGAUAUAGUGGAAAGUUUAGUACCACAUCGCCUGCUGAACCAAAAACGCAUAGAGGAGGAGGACUAUAUAAGGAGACCCCCUGGCCCCUGGAGGAGACAAGAAAUUAUCAUAGAGAUUGAGGGGUGCCCUCGAUGGAAAACCUCUUCUCUAAAUAAUAUUUCUUUUUAGGCUUAGCAACCAAUAUAAAGUAGAAAUAGAUCUUCUAGUUUCUACUAGAUUGAGAGAGAUAGAGUGGAGGUGUGGAUCGGAGGAAGGCCGGCCUGUCGGUGUCGACUCCGAGUUGUACCUGCGGGAUCAAGUCUCCUAACCCGAGGCUUGCUUCUAAGAUUCUUCAGUAAUUCAACUUCUAAUACUAGUAAGUUCUUGUUUUAUUAUUCUUUGGUUUAUGAGUUUACUUUAAUCCUCUUCCGGUUGAGUAUUAGAGUAAUCACUUGCUAGCGUAAACGUGGUGUUUAGGCUUGGGUACUCAUAGAUAUCCCCUGACUAGCUGGACCGUGGUAGUAGCGAGGAACGUGACAUUUCCGAGUUACCUUUGUAUUCCACAUCUCGUUAGCAGGACGGGUAGGUUUAUAGGUGCGGGUCGAACACCCUUUGUGUUGUCUAGAUUCCGUGAGCCUCCCCAAUAGAACAGUAGAUCAUCUUUACCAAGGUUAGAACGAGACUACGGUUGCAGUCUUCUCUAUACAUCACUCACAUCGAGAGACAUUCUUUGUAGCCUAAAGGGAUAGUAGCAAUAGAUUUGGUUAGUCAGAUGCACCCUUUCUCCCAGUGGUAAAAAUAUAAAUACGAUAACUCUGGAAAACCUCCCGGGUGAAAUGCUCACCGAUAUCCGUGCGCUUGCGGAUCAUUUCCUUAUUGCGUUACCAAAUAUCAACAACCCCCUGGCCCUUGGAGGAGAAGAGGAGAAAUCAUUAUUCAGAGGUAGCCAUCAAAGUUAGGGUUUAGAUCUCUCUCCCACAGAGAAUUAGAAUUAGCUACUCCCUAAUCCUUCAAGUUUAGAGGUUGAUUAGAUAGCAAUUAGAGAAGUAGAGCACUACGCUCUGGAUUC
This 5124-nucleotide long non-coding RNA is filed under the name Sorghum bicolor (sorghum). RNAcentral describes it as "long non-coding RNA (SBIC_LNC008848)". Lineage: Eukaryota; Viridiplantae; Streptophyta; Magnoliopsida; Poales; Poaceae. The record is from RNAcentral.